GCGACGGUGACGGUGGGUCCGUGAGACGAGCCUCUUAUUUCUUCCCCAGAUUCCCAACCGGCAUGUCCCUGAUCCCGCGCGCUGCUCCGGCGGCGAGCAUGGCGUUCGCCGGACGGGACCCCGCUGUCAUCCCCCUCCUCAAGAUGCUACCGCUGCUCGGUCUCCUCGCCAUCUCCUCGGCCGCAGAGCCCCCGGCGGCGUCGUCUCCCUCCGCCGUGCACAACAACAACUGGGCCGUGCUCGUCUGUACCUCCCGCUUCUGGUUUAAUUAUAGACAUAUGGCCAACACGCUGUCUUUGUACAGGACUGUUAAGAGAUUAGGAAUACCUGACGAGAGGAUAAUACUUAUGUUGGCUGAUGAUAUGGCUUGUAAUCCUCGGAACAAUUAUCCUGCCCAAGUGUUCAACAAUGAGAACCACCAGAUUAAUCUUUAUGGUGACAAUGUUGAGGUUGAUUACCGAGGUUAUGAGGUUACAGUUGAAAACUUUUUGCGAGUUUUGACUGGAAGACAUGAGAGCGCUGUACCAAGAUCAAAGCGUCUCUUAAGUGAUGAAGGAAGCCAUAUUCUUUUGUACAUGACUGGACAUGGUGGGGAUGAAUUUUUGAAGUUCCAAGAUAACGAAGAACUUCAGAGCCAUGAUUUAGCAGAUGCAGUAAAGCAAAUGAAGAAGCAUAGAUUUAAAGAGUUGUUGAUAAUGGUAGAUACCUGCCAGGCUGCUACUCUUUUUUCACAGCUUCAAUCACCUGGUGUUUUGGCGAUUGGUAGCAGCAUGAAGGGGGAAAACUCUUACUCUCACCAUCUCGACUCAGACAUUGGUGUUUCUGUUGUGGAUAGAUUUACCUUCCAUACACUUGCUUUCUUUGAGAAGCUGAACAUGUAUAGCAAUGCUUCAUUGAACAGUCUUUUCAACUCAUACGACCCUUCUAUGCUGCUGUCUACUGCAUAUUAUCGAAUGGAUCUUUACAAGCGUGCAUUAAACGAGGUCCCAGUGACAAAUUUCUUUGGAUCAGUCAUGAAGACUAUCCACACUGAUUCAGCCUACACAGGCUUUCUAGCUGCACAUGAUGCGGAACUCCCCUUUUCUGUCGGAAAUAAUAUACUUGAUCAUGUCAUGUUGCAGAAUGAGGCUAGUGCAAGAAGAUCGAACAUAGAAGAGAUGAAUGAGGCACAAUUAACGUCCCAUGGAUGGACAGAGGUCCUGCUAGAGCAGCUGGAAGGCAAAAAUUCUGAUGUUGUUGUGAUGUAUUGUCUGGGAACUAUGGGCAUAUUGCUGGCAAUUUCAACCUGGCUAUCAAUGUAGGAACUCUGAAGUGUGCUCUUAACACAUCUUCUUGCAGAAAACUUGGUCAUACUAACUUUCACAGGAUGGGACCAAGAAGAACGAAAAUAAGAGAGAUACUUUGGAGGGUUUUCAGCUGGAUGCUAUUUUAUUGAUCAUGUUAAUGCCAGAAUCAUGUAUCUCUUGUUUUGAGCGGUUAUGACAUGCCGAUUAUUAUAACUUAUGGAAUUAUGAGGUAUAUGCUAUAGAACUCUGUCAAACGGCAAAUAGCAGUUAUAAACUCAUUUGUAAACCACUAAACAAUGAGAAGAUUGGCAUUUCCUCUGAUAAGACUGGGGAAGUCUGUGGUGCUUCUUCUCAGCAGGCUGAGCUGACUGUUUGUGGCUGCAACCUAUGCAUGGCUGGGAUCAAGAGAAGGGAAAAAUUCUUGAAUAUCACUGAUGGAUCCUUCCUCUAUAUAUUUAGCUCAGGAAGAAAAUUCACAUGGGUAAUCGAUGAUAAAAAGUUUGUGCCCAUGUAUUUUGUCAUCACCUAUGUUUGAGGGGUCCUUUGUAUUAAUUAUUAUUGACUUUAUUCUGGCCCUAGUAUCUGUCCUAUUUAUGUUGUGACAAAGUGGGAAUGGUUGUCCAUUGUGGCAGUAGCCGAAAGUCCAUCACAGACAUCGAUAUUGUCAUGCCUAUUGGGGGACUUCCAUGCAUCUACAAGAGUAUGCAACAAUGAAAAGAAAAAAGUUCUGAUUGCACACCUACCAGAUCCGUUAUACAUGAUCAAUUUUGAUCUUAGAGCGACCUGAGUUCAGGACAUCUCCAGUACUUAUUGUACAAUAACAACACAGUGGGUGGUUUAGGGUGUAAUUUUGAAUGCAUUGCUGCAUAAUAUUUUCUAUAAAUCAGAUCCGAUAGUGAGUGCAAGUUAUUACUGGAGUUACAUCGAAAAUCUGAGCAAAAGCGUGUUUGCUGUCUCAGCUUUUCUCUCUCAAGCUAUGGUCCCAGAGAUCUACACUUCACCUCAGGAAAUGUCUGGAUGCCACUAUAUUAGAUGUCUUUGCUGGAUGCCCAUUGCUCAGUAAUAGCAGUUAAUUGUGUUGUCCUUUCUGGAGCUCAGUUGUUCCUUGUACUGACUGAGCAGUUGGCAGUGUGUCGCAGGGAGAUGUAUGAGGGUGUGAACGAGCUGCAGGGCCGACCAACCAUAAUGACAGCAAUAGGUAUGGAUCUGUGGCAUUUUCUGGACUCAGAUACCGGCUUGUUGGCUAUGAAAGGUUUGUGGCUGGCUCAGUUUGGAAGAAGCCGAAGCUUGAAUUGGUUGUAUUGGGGCAGUACACAUGAGACAUCAGUGAUCAUCAUGCCACCAACUCCCUGUUACAUCAACCACGAACCAGUAUCCCGGAUGUCAGUGUGCAGGGCAUUUCCAGGAAUAUGUUGGCAUGCACAGAUGCUCGGUAUCCUUGUCUUAGGGUUGGAUGCUGGAAAUGCCAAGAAUUGGCUGAUCAUAUUGUCUAUUCUUCUGUUUCUGCCAGUGAGGUAAGAGGCUGUGUUAUCAAAGAUGUUGGUUUCUGGAAGGGCACAAUGAUUUCGUGGCGAUGAGAGUUGCCUAAAGUAAAGAGGAUGGACGGUUGGAACUUGGAAGGGACAUAAUGUUAUGCAAGUUGCUUGCAAGAGUUCAGUUGCAUGAGAUGAUAUCCUUAUCCAGAGCCAUCAGCGCGGCAUCUUCUUUCGUCACUGUUAGUGGGGGUUGAAUUCUGUUGCCGAAGAAGCAAGCAUGAGCUAAAUUUAUUGAUAUUUGAUAACCAAAGGUGAUCUGAUAGAGUGUGAAGUUAGGCAAAAAGGGCCCGAGCCAGAGUCUUAUGCAUUCUCGCAGCAUGCUUUUUCAUAGCUCAAACCUACACGCUAACAAGGUACUCCGCUGCUCGAUAUUUUUCUGCCUUGAUUGUCUGAAAUAUCACGCAAAGAAAAGGAGCACGGUUCUCCCAGUCCUGGUCCAUGCUCCUACAAGGUUGUUUAGUGGGUGAGCGAUAGGGUGAUCUGCCUUGCAUGAUUUGCCUUGCACUUGCACUUUUCAUCUUGUGAGUAACUAUGUUGGAUUUGAGCCGCUCUGCGAUCCGCGGUUGAUUAUACUAUACUAGGUUUGCUUUGUGCUGGUCGACGCGCAUGCCAGGUCCACGAUACAUUUUGGGUUUUGUUGGGUGUGGAUCCACAUAACGACAGCACCAAUGCAUAUUUAUUGUUUAUAAUUGUAUCUAUCUAUCAAUC
RNA transcript from Triticum aestivum (bread wheat), 3529 nucleotides. It is a transcript of the gene named putative GPI-anchor transamidase, with no coding region annotated. The transcript is spliced from 11 exons. Lineage: Eukaryota; Viridiplantae; Streptophyta; Magnoliopsida; Poales; Poaceae. The record is from RefSeq and is a predicted model, not a curated record.